GGAAUAUUGGACAAUGGGCGCAAGCCCGAUCCAGCCAUGCCGCGUGAGUGAUGAAGGCCCUAGGGUUGUAAAACUCUUUCGGCGGGGACGAUAAUGACGGUACCCGCAGAAGAAGCCCCGGCUAACUUCGUGCCAGCAGCCGCGGUAAUACGAAGGGGGCUAGCGUUGUUCGGAAUUACUGGGCGUAAAGGGCGCGUAGGUGGCCUGUUAAGUCGAACGUGAAAUCCCCGGGCUCAACCCGGGAACUGCGUCCGAGACUGGCAGGCUCGAAUCCGGGAGAGGGAUGUGGAAUUCCAGGUGUAGCGGUGAAAUGCGUAGAUAUCUGGAGGAACACCGGUGGCGAAGGCGGCAUCCUGGACCGGUAUUGACGCUGAGGCGCGAAAGCCAGGGGAGCAA
RNAcentral lists this ribosomal RNA (396 nucleotides) under uncultured bacterium. RNAcentral's name for it is "bacterial SSU rRNA". It matches the Rfam family "Bacterial small subunit ribosomal RNA", at positions 358 to 771 of the family's 1533-position model. The record is from RNAcentral.